Molecule: long non-coding RNA, 1433 nt
Organism: Brachypodium distachyon (stiff brome)
Lineage: Eukaryota; Viridiplantae; Streptophyta; Magnoliopsida; Poales; Poaceae
Exons: 2
Source: RefSeq, a predicted model, not a curated record
CACUAAUUUUACCCCCUUUGAUCUAUCGACCUCCGGAACUGCGUUGGUCCGUGCGUGAAGUAGGGUUCUUAUCUCGGUUUUCUCGAGAAAUUUGAUGUUCUUGAAAUUCUGUGUGAGAAUUUUAGGAUUAGAUAAUUAGGAGAUGCACAUGUGGCGUAUGUAGUGUGGGGCUGUGAUGGUUGCUUUGUCUUAGAAAAUGCACUUGGGCAUGAUGAUGUUUAGGGUUUAGGGCACUGAGCGAUUGAUAUCUGAUAUCUGAUAUGUUCCUGAUACAGGGGAAUUUUUAGGAUGUACCCCCUCUGUUCCAAAUUAUAAGGUGUUCUAACUUUGUCCUAUGUCAAAUUUCUUAAAGUUUGACCAAGUUUAUAGAAAAAAUCUACCAACAUUACAACACUAAAUUAGUUUUAUUAAAUCCGUCAUGAUAUAUUCUUCUGUCUUCAUGGUAUACUUAUUUAAAUUUUUUACUUAGGACAAAACUAGAACAUCUUAUAAUUUGAAACGGAGGGAGUAUGAGAAAUGAACGCUAAAGCAAGUGUAGAUAGUUAGUUCUGGUUUGGAUUCUUGUCAAUACAACCACUCUCACUAAGCAUCUCACGGUUUGCUUGCUGAUAACGUUAUGUUGUGGUAGUUUGAUUGGCAACAAAUUGUUUAUCGGUGACUUGUCUGCUGUGGUGUCCUUAAUUUACGGCGUAAAUUUACCUUAUCACGUGCUCUCUGUUACACUGAUUGAAAAUCUCUAUGAAGCAUAGGGUCAAGAAAUAAAAUGCUGAUUCUAUCAAGAUUUGUUCAUCAUUAGGAUUCCGUGCCUUUUGGGAAAACUCUUGUCUUGAAAAAAGGAAGAAUCGGUGAUCGAUGGCGUCAUGCGGCGAUAGCUUAGGUCUUCAGGAGUCAGAUAGGACGACACGUCGGGCCGGGUCAAUUGGUGGAGCAACACACAGGCAGAGGGCAGGCGAGACUAACGCAUUCAGUCUCACGUCAUGGAUAUCAGGAUUCGAGAUGAUUAGAUGAACAGGGUAAGUAGGAGCCCUUAGGAGGGAGACUAACAUGCACAGCCGAACAGGGAACAGAUCGAUCGAGGUUUGUGAGUCUCUCGUAUGACGGUAAUCAUGGUACGAUGCUGGGAAACAGAUAGAUUGAUCCUAUGUGGCUAUUGACUGGAUCGAUGGACAAUGGAGUCUUGUAUCUACGGGACUGGGCUGUGGUGGUGCACACCUAACAAGAGAAGUGGAGGGCGGCCUGGACAGGACACGGAUGUCUAGCCUUUUAUUUUAUUUUAUCUAAUUAAGCUUGUACUUAAUGAAACUUAAAUGUAUUUUUGGGGCCCUCCCCAAUUUAUUUGGGGCCCUGUUCUGUUGCACAGCUCGCACAAGGCCAUCGGUGGCCCUGACCAUUCCUGAUACCUGACGGAAAUUUGUGGUGGUUUUCUUUUCUCA